GAUGAACGCUGGCGGCGUGCUUAACACAUGCAAGUCGAACGAUGAAGCCCAGCUUGCUGGGUGGAUUAGUGGCGAACGGGUGAGUAACACGUGAGUAACCUGCCCUUAACUCUGGGAUAAGCCUGGGAAACUGGGUCUAAUACCGGAUAGGAGCGUCCACCGCAUGGUGGGUGUUGGAAAGAUUUAUCGGUUUUGGAUGGACUCGCGGCCUAUCAGCUUGUUGGUGAGGUAAUGGCUCACCAAGGCGACGACGGGUAGCCGGCCUGAGAGGGUGACCGGCCACACUGGGACUGAGACACGGCCCGGACUCCUACGGGAGGCAGCAGUGGGGAAUAUUGCACAAUGGGCGCAAGCCUGAUGCAGCGACGCCGCGUGAGGGAUGACGGCCUUCGGGUUGUAAACCUCUUUCAGUAGGGAAGAAGCGAAAGUGACGGUACCUGCAGAAGAAGCACCGGCUAACUACGUG
This 466-nucleotide ribosomal RNA is filed under the name uncultured bacterium. RNAcentral describes it as "partial 16S ribosomal RNA". It matches the Rfam family "Bacterial small subunit ribosomal RNA", at positions 28 to 507 of the family's 1533-position model. The record is from RNAcentral.